UACUACCUAUAAGACUGGGAUAACUUCGGGAAACCGGAGCUAAUACCGGAUAAUAUAUUGAACCGCAUGGUUCAAUAGUGAAAGACGGUUUUGCUGUCACUUAUAGAUGGAUCCGCGCCGCAUUAGCUAGUUGGUAAGGUAACGGCUUACCAAGGCAACGAUGCGUAGCCGACCUGAGAGGGUGAUCGGCCACACUGGAACUGAGACACGGUCCAG
This 216-nucleotide ribosomal RNA is filed under the name uncultured Staphylococcus sp. RNAcentral's name for it is "partial 16S ribosomal RNA". It matches the Rfam family "Bacterial small subunit ribosomal RNA", at positions 124 to 334 of the family's 1533-position model. The record is from RNAcentral. Lineage: Bacteria; Bacillati; Bacillota; Bacilli; Caryophanales; Staphylococcaceae.